Ricinus communis (castor bean) is the source of this 507-nucleotide long non-coding RNA. RefSeq lists it as uncharacterized. The record is from RefSeq and is a predicted model, not a curated record. Lineage: Eukaryota; Viridiplantae; Streptophyta; Magnoliopsida; Malpighiales; Euphorbiaceae. The transcript is spliced from 2 exons.
AUUGAUCUGCAACAGUGUUGAGAAUACAAAGUUAGAGGUCUAGAGCAGACUAAUUCCAAUUUUAACUCUGAACAACUUUGUCUCUGUUGAAAAUCCACAGAAACGCAAGAGCACAAGCUCUUUAUGUUCAUUCAGUUUUCAUACUAGAUAUACAGGUAUUCUGCAGAAGAAAGACAUAUUAUGUGCAACUAUUGACCAAAACUCACCAGUUUCGUUGAGCCUUAUCAGAAGCUGAUCUCUUGAAGGGAGAGUAUACAUUCCGGCAUAAACGGCGGUCCUGACCGCCCAUGUAUGGAAUGGUGCACAAACUUGAGAAUAAGCUGUUGUAGCUGCGUCUUUUAAAGAGUAAUCACUGAAAAGAACAAAUUGCAGAAUAUUAUUAGAUUGUGCAACCACAGAAAUGCAAUGCAAAUUCAGUUAACGGAUUGGUUUUUAAUGUAUAGGAGGUAAAGGGAGGAACAUACUCAGUUGAUACAAAUUGUUCGAAUAGAGCUCUGAUGAGAUCAA